GCUUUGUAUUUGGCUCAACGAAAAC
This 25-nucleotide non-coding RNA is filed under the name Cricetulus griseus (Chinese hamster). Lineage: Eukaryota; Metazoa; Chordata; Mammalia; Rodentia; Cricetidae. The record is from RNAcentral.